UACGAAGGGUGCAAGCGUUAAUCGGAAUUACUGGGCUUAAAGCGCACGUAGGCGGUGUCGUAAGUGUCUGGUGAAAUCCCACGGCUCACCCGUGGAACUGCCAGGCAUACUGCGAUGCUCGAGUGUGGUAGGGGAGAGCGGAACUCCUGGUGGAGCGGUGAAAUGCGUAGAUAUCAGGAGGAACACCGGUGGCGAAGGCGGCUCUCUGGUCCACAACUGACGCUGAGGUGCGAAAGCUAGGGGAGCAAACGGG
This 253-nucleotide ribosomal RNA is filed under the name uncultured bacterium. Its description in RNAcentral is "partial 16S ribosomal RNA". It matches the Rfam family "Bacterial small subunit ribosomal RNA", at positions 524 to 776 of the family's 1533-position model. The record is from RNAcentral.